RNAcentral lists this ribosomal RNA (225 nucleotides) under uncultured bacterium. RNAcentral's name for it is "partial 16S ribosomal RNA". It matches the Rfam family "Bacterial small subunit ribosomal RNA", at positions 15 to 231 of the family's 1533-position model. The record is from RNAcentral.
GAUCAUAGCUCAGGAUGAACGCUAGCUACAGGCUUAACACAUGCAAGUCGAGGGGCAGCAUGGUCUUAGCUUGCUAAGGCCGAUGGCGACCGGCGCACGGGUGAGUAACACGUAUCCAACCUGCCGUCUACUCUUGGACAGCCCUCUGAAAGGAAGAUUAAUACAAGAUGGCAUCAUGAGUUCACAUGUUCACAUGAUUAAAGGUAUUCCGGUAGACGAUGGGGA